GAAACGACUGCUAAGACUGGAUAGGAAAAGUAAAGGCAUCUUUACUUUUUUAAAAGACCUUCUUUGAAGGUAUGCUUAAGGAGGGGCUUGCGACACAUUAGUUAGUUGGCAGGGUAAAGGCCUACCAAGACUAUGAUGUGUAGCUGGACUGAGAGGUUGAACAGCCACAUUGGGACUGAGACACGGCCCAAACUCCUACGGGAGGCAGCAGUAGGGAAUUUUCGGCAAUGGAGGAAACUCUGACCGAGCAACGCCGCGUGAACGAUGAAGUACCUCGGUAUGUAAAGUUCUUUUAUUAAGGAAGAAAAAAGAGUGGAAAAACUCCCUUGACAGUACUUAAUGAAUAAGCCCCGGCUAAUUAUGUGCCAGCAGCCGCGGUAAUACAUAAGGGGCGAGCGUUAUCCAGAGUUAUUGGGCGUAAAGGAUGCGUAGGCGGUUUAAUAAGUCUAUAGUUUAAUUUCAGUGCUUAACGCUGUUGUGCCAUAGAAACUGUUUUACUAGAGUGAGUUAGAGGCAAGCGGAAUUCCAUGUGUAGCGGUAAAAUGCGUAAAUAUAUGGAGGAACACCAGAGGCGUAGGCGGCUUGCUGGGACUUUACUGACGCUGAGGCACGAAAGCGCGGGGAGCAAACAGGAUUAGAUACCCUGGUAGUCCACGCCGUAAACGAUGAGUACUAAGUGUCGGGUAAAACCGGUACUGAAGUUAACACAUUAAGUACUCCGCCUGAGUAGUACGUACGCAAGUAUGAAACUUAAAGGAAUUGACGGGAUUCCGCACAAGCGGUGGAUCAUGUUGUUCAAUUCGAAGAUACACGAAAAACCCUACCAGGUCUUGACAUUUUCUUGCGAAGUUAUAGAAAUAUAAUGGAGGUUAUCAGGAAAACAGGUGGCGCAUGGUUGUCGUCAGCUCGUGUCGUGAGAUGUUAGGUUAAGUCCUAAAACGAGCGCAACCCUUGUCGUUAAUUGCCAGCAUGUAAUGAUGGGGACUUUAACGAGACUGCCAAUGAAAAAUUGGAGGAAGGUGGGGAUUACGUCAAAUCAUCAUGCCCCUUAUGAUCUGGGCUACAAACGUGAUACAAUGGUUGAUACAAAGAGUAGCUGAAACGCGAGUUAUUAGCCAAUCUCACAAAAUCAAUCUCAGUUCGGAUUGAAGUCUGCAACUCGACUUCAUGAAGUUGGAAUCGCUAGUAAUCGCGAAUCAGCAUGUCGCGGUGAAUACGUUCGCGGGGUUUGUACACACCGCCCGUCA
Molecule: ribosomal RNA, 1247 nt
Filed under: Soybean X-disease phytoplasma
Lineage: Bacteria; Bacillati; Mycoplasmatota; Mollicutes; Acholeplasmatales; Acholeplasmataceae
Description: bacterial SSU rRNA
Rfam family: Bacterial small subunit ribosomal RNA
Source: RNAcentral